UCUGUUUGGAGUGCAGGAGCCGGCCAGGACUCUGUUGAUGACCUGGAUCACACCUCUGUGUUACCAGUUCCCAGGAAGGCUCGCCCUGCUGUUAGGAGGCACAGGGUGUGAGAGCUCGGAGUCCAGAGCUUCUCGCUCAGGUUACUCUUGGGUUGAAGAGGCGAAGUGAUUUUCUCCAGUCACACACCACUUAGUGUUGGAAGCAGAGCCUUUGGAAGCUCUGGUGUCUCAGACCAGAACCCUCUAUACCAGUGGACCCCAUGCCUCUGACUAUGUGGAGCACUUCAAAGUCAAAGCUGUCACCUUGGACCUCAAGGGCACCUGAUCUUAACCAGGUAUGAUGGCAUGACCUUAGCCAGGUAUGAUGGCAUGCACCUGUGGUCCCAGCUACAGGGUAGGUUGAGGUGGGGGGAGGGGGUUGCCUGAGCUCAGAGUUUGG
This 439-nucleotide long non-coding RNA is filed under the name Marmota monax (woodchuck). The record is from RNAcentral. Lineage: Eukaryota; Metazoa; Chordata; Mammalia; Rodentia; Sciuridae.